GCUGACUAUCUCAGGAGAGAUGGAGGAAAUCUAUGUCAAUGUUCAACAUGGCAAGUCAGUCAACAGAAGCUCUUCAACAAUUCAAACAGGUCCAAAGAGCUCUGAUGGGAAGUUUCACAAAGCUGUUAUUCUUACUUUGGGGCUGCUGAGUGUUUCCCUGUUGGUUGGGCUCAUUGGCCUUGGUCUUCACUUCAUAAAUCUGUGGACUUCAUUUACCUUUGCUGUGUCUGCCAUUGGGAGGAUCUUUCCUGGGCUUUUCAUUCAAAUGGCUGCUGACUUCCUCUGCCAGAAGAUCUUCAUAAACCACGCUGUAGUAAGGAGGACAACACUGGUGUCUUGAUCUACAAAAAGCUCUUCGCAUUUCAUAGAUGCUCCAAACACACACAAAACCAAAGAUGACAUAAAGGGCA
Oreochromis aureus is the source of this 410-nucleotide long non-coding RNA. The record is from Ensembl. NCBI's taxonomy places the organism in Eukaryota, Metazoa, Chordata, Actinopteri, Cichliformes, Cichlidae.